GACGAACGCUGGCGGCGUGCUUAACACAUGCAAGUCGAACGGAAAGGCCCUGCUUUUGUGGGGUGCUCGAGUGGCGAACGGGUGAGUAACACGUGAGUAACCUGCCCUUGACUUUGGGAUAACUUCAGGAAACUGGGGCUAAUACCGGAUAGGAGCUCCUGCUGCAUGGUGGGGGUUGGAAAGUUUCGGCGGUUGGGGAUGGACUCGCGGCUUAUCAGCUUGUUGGUGGGGUAGUGGCUUACCAAGGCUUUGACGGGUAGCCGGCCUGAGAGGGUGACCGGCCACAUUGGGACUGGGAUACGGCCCAGACUCCUACGGGAGGCAGCAGUGGGGAAUAUUGCACAAUGGGCGGAAGCCUGAUGCAGCACCGCCGCGUGCGGGAUGACGGCCUUCGGGUUGUAAACCGCUUUCGCCUGUGACGAAGCGUGAGUGACGGUAAUGGGUAAAGAAGCACCGGCUAACUACGUG
This 468-nucleotide ribosomal RNA is filed under the name uncultured bacterium. RNAcentral describes it as "partial 16S ribosomal RNA". It matches the Rfam family "Bacterial small subunit ribosomal RNA", at positions 28 to 507 of the family's 1533-position model. The record is from RNAcentral.